AUGGGUUCGAAUACGUAUAGACAUGGCCCGAGUACUCCUACUCGGCCCAAUAGUCGGUAGCGGCCUCUAGCAAGACGUGCCAACUCCUAUACGCACACGAAGAUCAUAUCAAACGAACCGUCACAAUAUUAUGUACAUGCUAUUCCCUUUGCCUCACGAUAUUUGGUCUAGCUUCAAGCCAACCGCUCUUUCUCGAUCCUGUGAUUCGGAAUCCC
Molecule: long non-coding RNA, 215 nt
Filed under: Setaria viridis
Lineage: Eukaryota; Viridiplantae; Streptophyta; Magnoliopsida; Poales; Poaceae
Description: long non-coding RNA (SVIR_LNC007166)
Source: RNAcentral